Molecule: transfer RNA, 86 nt
Filed under: Metallosphaera sedula
Lineage: Archaea; Thermoproteati; Thermoproteota; Thermoprotei; Sulfolobales; Sulfolobaceae
Also listed under: 1 other name
Description: tRNA-Thr
Rfam family: tRNA
About the family: Transfer RNA (tRNA) molecules are approximately 80 nucleotides in length. Their secondary structure includes four short double-helical elements and three loops (D, anti-codon, and T loops).
Source: RNAcentral
GCCGCUGUAGCUCAGCUGGUAGAGCGCCGGCCUCGUAUCCCUGGAGAGAUAGCCGGUGGUCGCGGGUUCAAAUCCCGCCGGCGGCU